This 549-nucleotide ribosomal RNA is filed under the name uncultured bacterium. RNAcentral describes it as "bacterial SSU rRNA". It matches the Rfam family "Bacterial small subunit ribosomal RNA", at positions 355 to 896 of the family's 1533-position model. The record is from RNAcentral.
UAGGGAAUCUUCGGCAAUGGGGGGAACCCUGACCGAGCAACGCCGCGUGAGUGAAGAAGGUUUUCGGAUCGUAAAGCUCUGUUGUUAAGGAAGAACGAGUGUGAGAAUGGAAAGUUCAUACUGUGACGGUACUUAACCAGAAAGGGACGGCUAACUACGUGCCAGCAGCCGCGGUAAUACGUAGGUCCCGAGCGUUGUCCGGAUUUAUUGGGCGUAAAGCGAGCGCAGGCGGUUAGAUAAGUCUGAAGUUAAAGGCAGUGGCUCAACCAUUGUAGGCUUUGGAAACUGUUUAACUUGAGUGCAGAAGGGGAGAGUGGAAUUCCAUGUGUAGCGGUGAAAUGCGUAGAUAUAUGGAGGAACACCGGUGGCGAAAGCGGCUCUCUGGUCUGUAACUGACGCUGAGGCUCGAAAGCGUGGGGAGCGAACAGGAUUAGAUACCCUGGUAGUCCACGCCGUANCGAUGAGUGCUAGGUGUUAGGUCCUUUCCGGGACUUAGUGCCGCAGCUAACGCAUUAAGCACUCCGCCUGGGGAGUACGGCCGCAAGGUUG